GGCAUGUUACCAGGGCGGGCACUCAUACUUUCUCUUGAGUUUGAUUUAAAGACUCAUCGCACACUUCCCCCUAAAGUUUUAUAUUGAACCUUAGAACUGAAUCACCUCUAAUUGAAUUGACACAAGCAGCCAAUAACUUAGCCGUCUGUCGAGUCCAGUUCCCCGGGUGUCAGACAGACAGACUGCUGUCCCUGUGUGCUGCAUAUCUGUCUGUUGUUGGCACUCAGGAAGAUGGAGUUCCUCACGUGGAAGCCUGCACUUCUCAAGCUAAAGGGUUAAACCUCUGGGAUUGCUUGCAGUGAUGGCAGCCACUGUUGUCCUUUUAGUCAGUGGCCUUCGUGCCCUGGUCUUCAGUGUCAGCAAUAGGGUUUAUUUGUCCUCUGGGGUCUUUCUUUUUUGGCACAUGUCAGUUUUGUUUAUAAAAGAUGAAGAGACUGUCUCUCUGAUGAUGGGCUUAAUGAAAGGCACUCUGCUUUGGGUGUGGGCGGUCCA
This 492-nucleotide long non-coding RNA is filed under the name Androctonus crassicauda. The record is from RNAcentral. Lineage: Eukaryota; Metazoa; Arthropoda; Arachnida; Scorpiones; Buthidae.